GGUCCUUGCUAUGUAUGUUGACUAUUGUAGGUUCCGAUUCACUGUUUGAAGUAGGAUGCACCUAGAUAGAAUCUAUCAUCUUUGGUAGAAAAGGAGAAGUCCUAUGCAAUUCGUAAGAUUGAGUUCAGAAAAUCUCUGACCAGCAUAAGUGUGAAUAUUGGAAAAGAAUUUUCACAGGAUUCACAGAUGAACUUGAGUCAAGCCAAUCUAGCAUAUGAUUGACGAUGGGGUUUGACGAGUUCUCCAUGACCUC
Molecule: long non-coding RNA, 253 nt
Filed under: Elaeis guineensis (African oil palm)
Lineage: Eukaryota; Viridiplantae; Streptophyta; Magnoliopsida; Arecales; Arecaceae
Description: long non-coding RNA (EGUI_LNC033431)
Source: RNAcentral